This is a long non-coding RNA of Fukomys damarensis (Damara mole-rat), 645 nucleotides long. RefSeq lists it as uncharacterized. NCBI's taxonomy places the organism in Eukaryota, Metazoa, Chordata, Mammalia, Rodentia, Bathyergidae. The transcript is spliced from 4 exons. The record is from RefSeq and is a predicted model, not a curated record.
CCUCAGGGUCCUUCCAUCUGGCUCAUUUCCUACGGUGGCCUUUAAGGAAAAUCUCGAGGCUUAUAGGGCAAACCUCUCAAUGAAAACCGAGGGGAACGAGUCCGCCCUUUGCUCAGGGACAUGCGUGCCCUCCUGGUUGGUGUGAGGCUGCAGUCCUGGCCUGGUCCCUCCUCUUCCUCUCCAAGUGGACUCUGGUUUUCCUGGACGACUCCAUUGUGAAGAUCCGGCCCGACCGUGGGGCACAGACGGUUGACAGGCUUCUGAGAGAGCGCCUCUCCGAUAGCGUGAGGCCCAGGCUGACCCUGCAGUCGCUCACUGUGAUAUUGCUCAUCUCACAGCAAGGCUGAGGAGACAUCACGACCACACACUGACUCCAGAAACUUUCGCUCUGAAGUGACCCACAUCACUCCUGCCCACGUUUUGUUGGACAAAGCCAGCUCCAGGGCUACCUAAGGUCCACACGGCCCAGCCCAGCCCUGUUCAGAGAGCCUCGCUUUGCUCGAAUCUGAAAUAAAACCACGCAGCCCUCCUCCCUGGCCCUCAGCGGCGGCCUGUCUGAUUGGAUGCCUCCCACAGCCCUGAAGACCAGAGCUUCAAGGAAGAAGCAGCCGGGGACACGCUGAGUCCUCGCUUCUUAAAGUGCGC